AUUGAACGCUGGCGGCAUGCUUUACACAUGCAAGUCGAACGGCAGCGCGGGGGCAACCCUGGCGGCGAGUGGCGAACGGGUGAGUAAUGCAUCGGAACGUAUCCUGUAAUGGGGGAUAACGUAGCGAAAGUUACGCUAAUACCGCAUACGCUCGAGAGAGGAAAGUGGGGGAUCGCAAGACCUCACGUUAUAGGAGCGGCCGAUGUCCGAUUAGCUAGUUGGUGGGGUAAAGGCCUACCAAGGCGACGAUCGGUAGCUGGUCUGAGAGGAUGAUCAGCCACACUGGGACUGAGACACGGCCCAGACUCCUACGGGAGGCAGCAGUGGGGAAUUUGGACAAUGGGCGAAAGCCUGAUCCAGCCAUGCCGCGUGCGGGAAGAAGGCCUUCGGGUUGUAACCGCUUUAGUCCGGGAAAAGGGUGCGAGGAUAAUACCCUCGUGCUUUGAUGGUACUGGAAGAAUAAGCACCGGCUAACUACGUGCCAGCAGCCGACGGUAAAU
RNAcentral lists this ribosomal RNA (500 nucleotides) under uncultured bacterium. RNAcentral's name for it is "bacterial SSU rRNA". It matches the Rfam family "Bacterial small subunit ribosomal RNA", at positions 29 to 525 of the family's 1533-position model. The record is from RNAcentral.